RNAcentral lists this long non-coding RNA (1213 nucleotides) under Mytilus galloprovincialis (Mediterranean mussel). Lineage: Eukaryota; Metazoa; Mollusca; Bivalvia; Mytilida; Mytilidae. The record is from RNAcentral.
UCUCAGAUGAAUUUAUCCUACAUUUACUGAGUUCAAUCUGAACAAAUUUGGUUUCAAGAACUUAUGUUUUUUAAAUCAACCAAUAGAUAAUGGAAGAUGUGGUAUGAGUGCCAAUGAGACAACUCUCAAUCCAAGUCACAACUUAUAAAAGUAAACCAUUAUAGGUCAAGGUAUGGUCUUCAACACGGAGCCUUGAUAAAUAUUACUGAACAGCACUGACCAAUUGCAAGAUAUCUGUUAUAUUGUUUUUGCAAAAAAUCAUUGUCAGUAAAAAGAGUCCUCAUUGGUCAUGUUAUUUAUAAUGCAUCUUAACAUCUCCUACACAAAUCACUUGAGCAUUUCCCAUCUUCAAUAGAGAUUAAAAUACCACUCAGAUCAAUCCAUUUAUAUGCAAAAUAAGCUAUUCACCUUCUUUACCUCAAUGUUUAUAAAACAACUCUACAACAGGUUCACCACUUCAUGUGUUUGUUCCUCAAAUUUAAUUUUAAUGUUUAUAAAAAUAAAAAUAAGGAGAUGUGGUACGAUUGCAAAUGAACCAAUUAUCCAGUAAGUUCAAAUGAAGUGAAUGUGAGCAAUAAAGGCAACCAUUCAGCCUUCAACAAAAUUUUCAUUUUCAUUACCGCUAAGUUAUAAGUGAAACAAAACCUAGAUACAUUUCAAUAAGUAAGUCCUAAAAGUUAGUUAACUUAGAACUAUUAAUUCAGACAUGAAUACACAAACAACUUUAAGUCACCAUACAGCUUCAACAAUGAGCAAAAUCCUUAAAAGUAUAGUAUUAAAUCGGUUAAGGAUCCAUUUAGGAAGAAAUGUAAAACCAUACAAAAGAAGAAUUGUCUAUGCUUAAACAAUGAACAAAAAUAAAAUCUGACAGAUCGUAACAAAAAAAUAUUGAUUUUUCAUGACAAUAAGGUUCUCCAUGAUCAUUGGCCUAAGCCCUGGUAAAGACAUGUAGUAAAAGACCUGUUACAUAACAAAUUUCUUAACCAUGUCAAUUGGCAUAAAAAAAUUGACAACCUUUCUGCAUCCUCUGUUUCGCCCUACAGUGUCACUACUAUCAAAUCUGUGCUAUGCACAGAUAUCAACUCCCAUCAUAGUGAUACUUUCAUAUGACUUAAACCUCCUAAGAAGAGAAUAACUGAAGUUAUCAAAGCUGAAACAAUUCAACCUUACAUAUAGGAAAUAGUUCAUAUAUAUCUUAUCAUUUUUUCCCCAA